AAACCUGUACUCAUACAAAAGAAAAGAGAACAGAGAGAAGCAUUUGGAAGAAGCACAACAUUGGAACUGUAAGAAAGGAGGUUUGGACAUUUUGGAAACUACUUGUACUGAUGUUGUAAUAAUGCAGUCUUGCUAGAAGAUGAUUUGUAGGAUUGUCAAUGUGGGAACAGGUUGGUGAAGUGUAUUCACAUUUCAGAAAGUGAGCAGCUGUUUGUCAUUAGCUGCAUCAUGCAAGAACUGUGGGUAAAAACCUCUACAUGCUUCUCAAAUGUGGGAAUGCGGCUAGUGUGGGAAUCGGUUUUUAGUCGCAUCAGCAGACUACUUGAGGAAAUUUUGCAACAAUGGAGACAGGGCAAAGGUUAGAAGUCUUUUUAGAACUACAAUCAAUGAGGAAGGAAGAGACUUUACUUUGUCCUACUGUGGAAAGGUCAUUUCAAGGACUGAGGAGUCAUGGUUGAAGACAAUCGGGUUAAGGUAUGGGCUGUGGGAGUGCUAAUGUGAAAUGGAAAAAGGGGGCAAAGUACGACGAAAAACAAGCCAAGGCGGACAGGGUUUUUGUUUUGUAAAGCCUUGUUUAUACUAUUGCCUUGCACCGCACCGCACCCGUCCACUGACUGCAUGCGCACUUCAGAGGUGUUUAAAGUCAACACGCUCACCGUUGUACUAUUUUCUGAAACGACAGGGAGCAUAUUGGAGAAAAAAAACAUCUUUAAACCAUCAGAAAGUAGCGUUGUAGUGGCAGUUUGGCUGAACAAUGUGAUGAAAUUUUUUGAGCUAUUUAAUAAUGAACUAACAUUUCUUUUCUUCUACAGGCCUAACUUUGAAAUAGAGAAAUAGAGAAAUGAGUGCUGUGAUUCAGAAAAAUUCUGCUGUGCUGGCUAGACAGCAUCCUUCUAAGGAUAAAAAAUAGUAUUUGAGAAAUUGUUUUAACCUACUGAGUAAUCUGAACUAUUAACCCGGAGACAUUUUUUGAUGAUCUUGUGAUUCAGUUGUUCUAAUCUAAAUUUAAGCGGGACAGAGGAACGGAGAUGUUUUUCUUAAAUAUAAACCAAUCGUAUUGAGACUGAUGAUAAUGAGUAAUAGAUCAUGCCAUACUGACUGUGAAGUGUACCUGAAAUCCUAUAAAACCUGUUGUAUUCCUUUGUUCGGAAAGAGAUUCUCUGGAAUUGAUGAGAACUCUCCCGGCCGUGAUUUAAGCUUUGAAGGACAAAAACUGGAGUCUCUGGUUAUUGCUGCAGCAAGUCAGGUUAGGAAACAAGGUUUAAGGGUGUCAAGACAUUGACCCAAAAUAUUAUGAGUGUCGAUUAGGAGACGCUCCGAAAGAUCAUAUGUUAUUGAGUGUCGAUUUGGAGACGCUCCCAAGUGUUAUUGAGUGUCGAUUAGGAGACGUUCCGAAAGAUCAGUAAAUUUAUUGAGUGUCGAUUAGGAGACGCCCCAGGAAUGUAACUUAAGUCAGGUGCGUCUUGGAAAAUCUACCACAACAACUUCAGAUCACUUGCAUGUGUCGUGGUGCUCACAUGUACAGCGUGGGCCAAUACUGAGCCGGUAUCCGGACGUCAACACAGAAGUGCUGUACUGUGUUCACUACGUCAACAGCAUAGGAGACUGUCAGAUGAACGAAGGUCUUACGGGUUUGGAAAGACAUGAGGAUAGGAGAACCCCUUUGGAAUGGACAAGAACCUGGAAAUGGAUGCCACAUCAUCAGAUGAAAAGAAGCAGUUGGUUACUUAUGCUUUUAUGCCUCAUCGAGUAUGUCCAAAGCCUCCACUGAGAUGGCCUUGUUGCGGUCAUGUAGCUGAGUCACCAGCAGUUCAAUACCCCAGUUGCUGAAGAACUCUACGUUAGCUCGGAGUAACACCCGCAGAUGCUUGGUGGCAUACAGCCUGCAGUUCUGUGCCAAAACAUUCAAGAAUUAUACUGCUGAUCCAUAGGGGAAAUGUAUGGCAAGAAGACAAACACGUUCAAAAGGUAGUAGGUCCGUUUCUUACGUCAGUGGCAGCAGUGAGGAUCUUUGAGAGAAUGACUCGUGCUAAACCAUCCCGGCCGUAGUCCAGCGUGGAAAUGAUCAGCUUCAGAAGAUGGUCCUGGUUCUUCAAGGAGCACAAGUUCAGCAGGCUGUCAAAACAACGAAGAAAGAAGAG
Megalobrama amblycephala (Wuchang bream) is the source of this 2141-nucleotide long non-coding RNA. RefSeq lists it as uncharacterized. The record is from RefSeq and is a predicted model, not a curated record. The transcript is spliced from 4 exons. NCBI's taxonomy places the organism in Eukaryota, Metazoa, Chordata, Actinopteri, Cypriniformes, Xenocyprididae.